RNAcentral lists this ribosomal RNA (254 nucleotides) under uncultured bacterium. RNAcentral describes it as "partial 16S ribosomal RNA". It matches the Rfam family "Bacterial small subunit ribosomal RNA", at positions 524 to 776 of the family's 1533-position model. The record is from RNAcentral.
UACAGAGGGUGCGAGCGUUGUUCGGAAUUACUGGGCGUAAAGCGCGCGCAGGCGGCCACUUAAGUCCGUUGGUGAAAGACCGGGGCUCAACCCCGUGUCAGCCAUGGAUACUGGGCGGCUGGAGACAGGUAGAGGCAAGCGGAAUUCCGGGUGUAGCGGUGGAAUGCGUAGAGAUCCGGAAGAACACCGGAGGCGAAGGCGGCUUGCUGGGCAUGAUCUGACGCUGAGGCGCGAAAGCGUGGGGAGCGAACAGG